AACGAACGCUGGCGGCAUGCCUAACACAUGCAAGUCGAACGAGACCUUCGGGUCUAGUGGCGAACGGGUGCGUAACGCGUGGGAACCUUCCCGUAGGUUCGGAAUAACUCCCCGAAAGGGGUGCUAAUACCGGAUAAUGUCUUCGGACCAAAGAUUUAUCGCCUUUGGAUGGGGCCGCGUUGGAUUAGCUAGUUGGUAGGGUAAAAGCCUACCAAGGCUACGAUCCAUAGCUGGUCUGAGAGGAUGAUCAGCCACACUGGGACUGAGACACGGACCAGACUCCUACGGGAGGCAGCAGUGGGGAAUAUUGGACAAUGGGCGAAAGCCUGAUCCAGCAAUGCCGCGUGAGUGAUGAAGGACUUAGGGUUGUAAAGCUCUUUUAACCGGGAUGAUAAUGACAGUACCGGGAGAAUAAGCGCCGGCUAACUCCGUG
Molecule: ribosomal RNA, 433 nt
Filed under: uncultured bacterium
Lineage: Bacteria
Description: partial 16S ribosomal RNA
Rfam family: Bacterial small subunit ribosomal RNA
Source: RNAcentral